RNAcentral lists this ribosomal RNA (303 nucleotides) under uncultured bacterium. RNAcentral describes it as "partial 16S ribosomal RNA". It matches the Rfam family "Bacterial small subunit ribosomal RNA", at positions 507 to 809 of the family's 1533-position model. The record is from RNAcentral.
AGCAGUCGCCGCGGUAAUACGAAGGGGGCUAGCGUUGCUCGGAAUUACUGGGCGUAAAGGGAGCGUAGGCGGGUCGUUUAGUCAGAGGUGAAAUCCCGGGGCUCAACCUCGGAACUGCCUUUGAUACUGGCGACCUUGAGGAUGGGAGAGGUAAGCGGAACUCCGAGUGUAGAGGUGAAAUUCGUAGAUAUUCGGAAGAACACCAGUGGCGAAGGCGGCUUACUGGCCCAUUACUGACGCUGAGGCUCGAAAGCGUGGGGAGCAAACAGGAUUAGAUACCCGAGUAGUCCCUGUCUCUUAUAA